Molecule: long non-coding RNA, 921 nt
Filed under: Homo sapiens (human)
Lineage: Eukaryota; Metazoa; Chordata; Mammalia; Primates; Hominidae
Description: HSALNT0364638
Source: RNAcentral
UAGUGUGAACUGACAUCUGACUUUGAGUAUCCUAUCUCAAAACAAGAUUUAAAGUUGCCUGUGAGUUACCACGCACUUUGAUGUGAUGUUGAGGAACAAUAUGUACGGAUUAGUGCAUUUGCUCAACAAAUGUGGAUUCAGCUCUUGCAACAUCUCAAGUAUGCUUCUAUGCAUUGGGGAACCACAGUGAAUGGACAGAGAAGAUGCCUGCACUUAUGGAACUCCCAGCCUAGCUCACAGCUAAACGUCCUUGAGGUCUAUCCAAGUUGCUGGUGGAUUAAUAGUUAUUCCUCUUGAAUUGCUGAGCAGAAUCCCAGAAGACAAAAGAAACGUGUCUGUGAUCGCACCCAGCAGAACAACCGAGGACCUACUCCCUCACCCUCUGCGCUAUCUCAAAUCUCUACAUACAACAAUAGCAAAACAGACUGCAAAUAUGACCCACUGCUUUUACAAUGUUAAAAUCAACUGAAACGAUAUUCUGACAACAGCUUUUCUCACAGAUUACUAGACAUCUCUGCCAAAGGAAAUUAAAACAUGCCUCCAGAAAAAAAUCAGGACUAAUUCUGAUCUUCUUGAAAGAAACUAUUAUAUAUUAAUAGAGUCAUAUCAUGGGCACAUGGAUAAGUAAUUAUCAUAAUUUUGAGAAAUAUAAAGCCUCUUUUAAAAAAGGUGCACAAAUGAUGUUGGCUUAUCUGACAUAGGAGUCAAUGUGAUGGACUUACAUAAACAGAAGAAAAUCAGUAGUGAUUACCCAGAAGAAAAUAGAAUAUGAUCAUCUUGGGAUUUUCAACAUUUGUCCUGCAUGCUUAUUCCAUCUCAUAUUUUUAUGAUUGAUCCAAGUAAAGAAUGAGUCACUCCAUAGGGGGGCUGAGAACAUGCCAGGUCGAAGAUUUUCCUGUGACAUUAAACAAUAGCUUAGAA